RNAcentral lists this ribosomal RNA (350 nucleotides) under Microcoleus sp. CSU_2_2. RNAcentral's name for it is "bacterial SSU rRNA". It matches the Rfam family "Bacterial small subunit ribosomal RNA", at positions 1 to 380 of the family's 1533-position model. RNAcentral also lists the same sequence under 1 other name. Lineage: Bacteria; Bacillati; Cyanobacteriota; Cyanophyceae; Oscillatoriales; Microcoleaceae. The record is from RNAcentral.
AACACGGAGAGUUUGAUCCUGGCUCAGGAUGAACGCUGGCGGUCUGCUUAACACAUGCAAGUCGAACGGAGUAGCAAUACUUAGUGGCGGACGGGUGAGUAACGCGUGAGAAUCUGGCUUCAGGACGGAGACAACAGUUGGAAACGACUGCUAACCCCCGAUGUACCGCAAGGGAAAAUAUUUAUAGCCUGAAGAUGAGCUCGCGUCCGAUUAGCUAGUUGGGGGGGUAAAAGCCCACCAAGGCGACGAUCGGUAGCUGGUCUGAGAGGACGAUCAGCCACACUGGGACUGAGACACGGCCCAGACUCCUACGGGAGGCAGCAGUGGGGAAUUUUCCGCAAUGGGCGCAA